CGGACCUUGGCGGACUGCUCAGUAACACGUGGACAAUCUGCCCUUGGGUGGGGUAUAAUCUCGGGAAACUGAGGACAAUCCCCCAUAGAUCUAGGAUGCUGGAAUGCUUCUAGGUUCAAAGUUCAGGCGCCCAAGGAUGAGUCUGCGGCCUAUCAGGUAGUAGUGGGUGUAAGGGACCCACUAGCCAACGACGGGUACGGGCCUUGGGAGAGGUUGCCCGGAGAUGGACUCUGAGACACGAGUCCAGGCCCCACGGGGCGCAGCAGGCGCGAAAACUUCACACUGCAGGAAACUGCGAUGAGGGGAUUCCAAGUGCUAAUGCACUGCAUUAGCUGUUCAAUAGCCUAAAAAGCUGUUGAAGUAAGGGCUGGGUAAGACGGGUGCCAGCCGCCGCGGUAAUACCCGCAGCCCGAGUGGUGAUCGUUAUUAUUGAGCCUAAAGCGUCCGUAGCCGGUUCAGUAAAUCUCUGGGUAAAUCGAACGGCUUAACCGUUCGAAUUCCGGAGCGACUGCUGGACUUGGGACCGGGAGAGGUCGGAGGUACUUCUGGGGUAGGGGUGAAAUCCUGUAAUCCUAGAAGGACCACCAGUGGCGAAGGCGUCCGACUAGAACGGGUUCGACGGUGAGGGACGAAGCCCUGGGGCGCAAACCGGAUUAGAUACCCGGGUAGUCCAGGGUGUAAACGCUGCAGACUUGGUGUUGGGCGUCCUACGAGGGCAUCCAGUGCCGGAGAGAAGUUGUUAAGUCUGCCGCUUGGGGAGUACGGUCGCAAGACUGAAACUUAAAGGAAUUGGCGGGGGAGCACAGCAACGGGAGGAGCGUGCGGUUCAAUUGGAUUCAACGCCGGAAAACUCACCGGGGGCGACGGUUACAUGAAGGCCAAGCUGAUGACUUUGCCUGAUUUUCCGAGAGGUGGUGCAUGGCCGCCGUCAGUUCGUACCGUAAGGCGUUCUGUUAAGUCAGAUAACGAACGAGACCCUCACCCUUAAUUGCCAGUUGCCUCUCAGGAGGUAAGGGACAUUAGGGGGACCGCCAUUGCUAAAGUGGAGGAAGGGGAGGGCAACGGUAGGUCCGUAUGCCCCGAAUCCCUCGGGCUACACGCGCGCUACAAAGAGUAGGACAAUGGGAUCCGACACCGAGAGGUGAAGGUAAACCCGAAACCUACCCAUAGUUCGGAUUGAGGGCUGUAACUCGCCCUCAUGAAGCUGGAUUCCGUAGUAAUCGCGGGUCAACAUCCCGCGGUGAAUGUGCCCCUGCUCCUUGCACACACCGCCCGUCAAACCAUCCGAGUUGGGUCUAGAUGAGGUUGUCUCUAUUUGGGGCGUUCGAAUCUGGGUUCAGCAAGGAGGGUUAAGUCGUAACAAGGUA
Molecule: ribosomal RNA, 1367 nt
Filed under: metagenome
Description: bacterial SSU rRNA
Rfam family: Archaeal small subunit ribosomal RNA
Source: RNAcentral